This 25-nucleotide ribosomal RNA is filed under the name Anopheles hyrcanus. RNAcentral describes it as "partial 28S ribosomal RNA". The record is from RNAcentral. Lineage: Eukaryota; Metazoa; Arthropoda; Insecta; Diptera; Culicidae.
GCCUCAAGUUAUGUGUGACAACCCC